GCCUCUUGCAGAGCAGUCAGCAGCCUCCGCGCCUCCACUCGCAGUCCUCUCGCAGAACUCUGCUGUCUCACGCACUGGCAAGGUCUCAGUGGCUCGUGCUCCCACAGGAAGACGUUCGCACCUCGAGAGUCGCCAGCAAGACUCAGCGCGGGCUGGGCCCGCUGGGGAUGGGUAGGAACGCGGCCCACUGUGAGGUCACGGGGUGACUGUGACUCUCCGGUGCCAUCACGAAGCACACAGAUGGGUGGAGUCUUGCUGCCCCGUGGCUAUUGCGUCCGUAUUUGGGGCAUUUGCCUGCCAGAGCGCACCCAAGGACUUUCACUGGGACGUUUUCCCAAGCAGUGACAAAUAAAGGAUUUCUUGAAGCAAGCAGUAGAGCAGCUUUGGUGUUGCCGUUGAUCAGUGCAGUAGCUGUGACCGUGCCGGCAUUUGAUAGUAGUGCUAGCAAAGUAAAUGCUGUGCUGGGUAUUUUUCAGCAAGCAGUGAAGGGGCAGUGCUUGCCAAGAAGGGAUCCCCGUCCUGGUCCUGGUGGGGAAAGAGCAGCACAGCUUCUCCGUGUGUCUCUUCCCGCCCCUCCUGUGCACCCUCCGGGACUUUCCCUGACAUCCUAACCUUAUCUGUUCCCUUUCUGGGUGACUUCUACCAUGUCUUGGGUGGAGAGUCAUGAGCAUCAGUCCUAUGUUUCUAGCACGUUCUUCUUGGAGUGUGUUGUCCUGCUGAGGGCUGUGAACUCUGAGAUCCCUCUGGAUGGCUGCACGGCCUUCUGCUGCAUCGGCCGCUCCUCCCCGUUUGGGAUCCUCCGCGGCCUCGUGAGGGUCCGCGCUGUUCCGUCACCCAGCUCGUUCUUGAGGCUCUUCCGUGGGACUGGACCCACUUUUGUCCCCUGCGAUGAACCUGCGGGGUGGCUGCAGUUCUUCCAAUUCAGGCAGAGCAGCAGAUCUGUAGAGGUACAAAGGGGCACUUUGGAGGUAUCUCAGCUUUGUGUGCUUUGCAGGCUGGCCUGAGUGGUUUUCCAGGUGCAAGUGUAGUUGUGUCCAUAAUAUUUCCUCCUGCCCCUCUUCUGCACUGUCAUUUGUGCUCCUCUCAGAGAGCUGGGCUUUUGUUAUGUAUCUGAAAUUUAGGCUGGGUUUUUCCUAUUAUUUGUAUUUUUUUACUGGUUAUGCUGCAAGAGACGUGCACAUUUUUUUCAAUGUUCCUCACAUAUUAACUGCUCUGUGGCAGCAUUUAUAUUCAGUUUUUUAUACACUGGGAGCACAGUGGAGGUUUAGAAUUGUAGAUUUCUUUUUAAUAAAAUAUGAUUAUUGGCUCUAGAGCCAUCUAAAGAUGUUAGGACCUUACUGAAUAAGAUGGCAAAGCUUUAAAUCUUAGUGUAAAAACUUUAAUGUUGGCAAAGGUGAGCAUUGGAAUUUCUUUUGUCUCUAGAAUUGGCAUCUUGUUCUGGGUUAAGAAAAUGCUCUCAGGAGUUGCCAGAAAAUAUAUAUAUCUAUUUAGUUUAUAUUUGAUUUUUUUUUUUUGGUCGAAGCUAAAAAUCUAAUUAUUUUCUCAUCAAUCUGGA
Long non-coding RNA from Gallus gallus (chicken), 1555 nucleotides. The record is from Ensembl. Lineage: Eukaryota; Metazoa; Chordata; Aves; Galliformes; Phasianidae.